GAUGAACGCUGGCGGCGUGCCUAAUACAUGCAAGUCGAACGCAUUGUGGUUGAAAUGAUAUGAAGAACUUGUUCAGAUUUGAUUUUCAACAUUGCAAUGAGUGGCGAACGGGUGAGUAACACGUGGGAAACCUACCUCUUAGCAGGGGAUAACAUUUGGAAACAAAUGCUAAUACCGUAUAAUAAUUAAAACCGCAUGGUUUUAGUUUAAAAGAUGGUCUUGCUAUCACUAAGAGAUGGUCCCGCGGUGUAUUAGUUAGUUGGUGAGGUAAUGGCUCACCAAGACAAUGAUACAUAGCCGAGUUGAGAGACUGACCGGCCACAAUGGGACUGAGACACGGCCCAUACUCCUACGGAGGCAGCAGUAGGGAAUACUUCCACAAUGGACGAAAGUACUGAUGGAGC
This 404-nucleotide ribosomal RNA is filed under the name uncultured bacterium. RNAcentral describes it as "bacterial SSU rRNA". It matches the Rfam family "Bacterial small subunit ribosomal RNA", at positions 28 to 392 of the family's 1533-position model. The record is from RNAcentral.